RNAcentral lists this long non-coding RNA (342 nucleotides) under Mytilus galloprovincialis (Mediterranean mussel). The record is from RNAcentral. Lineage: Eukaryota; Metazoa; Mollusca; Bivalvia; Mytilida; Mytilidae.
GGGAAAGGACAAAGGACAUAUUACAGACCAAAACUUCUUAACAUAAGGUAUCUGCAUACAAGGUAUGAAGCAUUCAGGUCUCCUACCUUCUGAAAUAUAAACUUGUUUGCAAAUAGUGUAUGCCUGCUGCUGCUGGAUAGUAAGUACUGUCAACAUAUAUUUGUUCAGCCUAACAGACGUUCCACUGGAAACUUUGUAAUAAACAAAGUCAUAAUAUUUGUUCCAAUGGUGUUCCUCAUUGGAACAAAUAUGCUAUUCCAUUCAUUCUGUUAGGAACAUAUACUGUUAUAAUUAUUCCAGUUUUACUAGUAACCCAGAAUUUAUUUUUACACUCCCAUAGAC